RNAcentral lists this ribosomal RNA (252 nucleotides) under uncultured bacterium. RNAcentral describes it as "partial 16S ribosomal RNA". It matches the Rfam family "Bacterial small subunit ribosomal RNA", at positions 524 to 776 of the family's 1533-position model. The record is from RNAcentral.
UACAGAGGUCCCAAGCGUUGUUCGGAUUCACUGGGCGUAAAGGGUGCGUAGGUGGCCAGGUAAGUUCGAUGUGAAAUCUCCGGGCUUAACCCGGAAAGUGCAUUGAAUACUAUCUGGCUAGAGGGUUGGAGGGGGGCUGGAAUUCUCGGUGUAGCAGUGAAAUGCGUAGAUAUCGAGAGGAACACCAGUGGCGAAGGCGAGUCCCUGGACAACUCCUGACACUGAGGCACGAAAGCUAGGGGAGCAAACAGG